RNAcentral lists this long non-coding RNA (1444 nucleotides) under Fragaria vesca (wild strawberry). RNAcentral's name for it is "long non-coding RNA (FVES_LNC005496)". The record is from RNAcentral. Lineage: Eukaryota; Viridiplantae; Streptophyta; Magnoliopsida; Rosales; Rosaceae.
GUAGCGGGACAUUGAGAUCAGUAAGAAGAUCAAUUGAUUAACGGGGAUCAAAAGUACACUUUCAAAAAACUAAAGGAAACUCAUAUCAUAUCAAGUAAAGAAACCCAAUUUACAGCUUACAGACAAAAACCAAUCCCUAUACCUCUCCCUAACAUCACCAUACUCCAUCUCAUGCUCCCUACCUCUAGUCCCCCCAGUUCCUCCCCCUCUCGACGUCCCGCCGGAAACUCUGUCUCUCUGCCUCUCCCUCUCCCUCUCCCUCCACCGAAACCCAUCCUCCCUCCUCUACUCCUCACAGAAACUGAAAGUUAAAAAAACAUUGUUUACCAAACUAAAGGGAAUAACCUAACCUGACCAACAAAAUCACAGUAACCUUGACUACAACCUACAAAACCAGAAAAAUACCCAUUGCAUCAACCCAACAUUCAAAUACUGUGAUUUUGAAAUACCCAAAACCCAACCUACAAAACCAUUUAAAUACCCAGAAAUAAAACCCGUCAAGCAUACCUGAUUUGAGACCCACCCAAUAUAAACCAAAUUUCAUCCCGAAACUGAUAUUUAGAAUGCCAAACCGUAGGGAUUUCCUGCAGAUCAACAUCCUUAUUGUCAAACCUUAACCGGUAAACCUAGAUAGAUACAAUGAAGAAGAAGAACAAAGAACCAAAAUCGAACUAACAGUGACCGAUAAAAAAACAAAGAGUUGACAGUAAAUUCAGUUUCAAAAUCCAAGCAUAGAAUAAUUAACAAAGAAGAAGAAAGAAGAUCGGGAGGCUUGAGAAAGAAGAACGGGAGGCUUGAAUAAUUACAAAAUUGAACUAACAUUAACGAAUUUCAUCUUCGAUCGAUCAGUCUAUUCUUUGAUCUUCGAUCGAUCAGUCAACUCUAGUCUCUCCCUCUAUAUGCUUCUGUUUGGGGAAAAAGAAAAAAGGAGUCCAGAUCCUUCCAGAGGUGUGUGGAGCAAGAGAAAGGGCAAAACCGAUGAAGGAAGUGACGAAAGAGAGGGAAGGAGAGCUUGAGAUUUGGAAAAUGAUUCGGUGGGGUUUUGAGAGAGAUCAAGAGAGAGCAAGAAAAAGAAUUAGAAAACGGCAAGAUGCAGGACCAUAACUUCAUAUGAAAAGCAGAAUAAAAACAAAUCUCAGAUAAAAAACUAAAUGGGAGCAAAUUCAUUCACACAAAACUCAUUAACCAUCAAGACAUAGCAAAUUCCAUUUUUCAAGCCUAUAGACUCGAUGGUGAUAAGAAAGGCAGAGACAUUGAAAUGUGAAUGAAUUUGGCUAGAAAACAUAUCUUGUUUGCAUAUACAGGAUGUAAAUUGUUAUUGGCCAUUUACAGCAAUCAAAUCUGCAACUAAAUAUUUUUGCUCAGAACUGUCAUCAUUAACAUUCAAUGGGUACAUUUUUUGAUUUUCAAUCAAUUUUAGAUGCAUUGCAUGCAUUUUAUCUCU